Molecule: ribosomal RNA, 253 nt
Filed under: uncultured bacterium
Lineage: Bacteria
Description: partial 16S ribosomal RNA
Rfam family: Bacterial small subunit ribosomal RNA
Source: RNAcentral
UACAGAGGGUGCUAGCGUUGUUCGGAAUCAUUGGGCGUAAAGGGCGUGUAGGCGGUUUGUUAAGUCAUGUGUGAAAUCCCUCGGCUCAACCGGGGAACGACGCAUGAAACUGGCAAGCUAGAGUACCAAAGAAGGGGGUGGAAUUCCCGGUGUAGCGGUGAAAUGCGCAGAUAUCAGGAGGAACACCGGUGGCGAAGGCGGGUCUCUGGGCCGAUACUGACGCCGAGGAGCGAAAGCGUGGGGAGCGAACAGG